This 218-nucleotide long non-coding RNA is filed under the name Elaeis guineensis (African oil palm). RNAcentral's name for it is "long non-coding RNA (EGUI_LNC041139)". The record is from RNAcentral. Lineage: Eukaryota; Viridiplantae; Streptophyta; Magnoliopsida; Arecales; Arecaceae.
CGUGGUGGGGUGUGUGCUAAUUUUUUCCACUGCAACAUCUUAACGCCCCUUUCUCUCCUUCUUCCUGAUCAUGCCCCAUCUUUUCUCAGAUCUGAUCUGAGAUAGAGAGAGUUUAGAGAGAAAAAGGAAGAGAAGAAGAAGGAUUCUUCUUCUUCUUGUUGUUGUCCAUUUUAGAUCUUAUUACAUCAGUGCGAAGGAUUCGUGUUGCAAUUCUAUUC